CCAACCAAUUUUACCACUGUAUUCUUCCUCUUCCCUCUCCAACCCUGGAUAUCAAACCUAGGGUCUCCUGAGUGCAAAAUAAGUGCUAGACCAUUGAGUUAUAUUCAGCCCUCAUACUUCAAUAACUCUUUUGGGGUGAGAAGAUGUCUCAGCAGGUAAAGUGUUUGAUGUUGAAGCAUGAGCAUCCAAUUUCACAUUCCUAGCACCCAUGCAAAAGUUCGAUGCUGUCUGUAACCCCCAGCACCCAGGACUGGGCCAUGCUGUCUGGCCAAUCCAUUUGAAACUGUAAGCUUCAGGCUCAAUUUGAGAUGUAAUCUCAGAGAGAGAAGAGAAGAGAAGAGAAGAGAAGAGAAGAGAGGAGAGGAGAGGAGAGGAGAGGAGAGGAGAGGAGAGGAGAGGAGAGGAGAGGGGGAGGUGGAGGAGGAGGAGGAGAGGAGGAAGAGAGGAGGAGGAGAGGAGGGGAGGGGAGGGGAAAGGAGAGGAGAGGAGAGAAGAAGAGAAGAGAAGAGAAGAGAAGAGAAGAGAAGAGAAGAGAAGAGAAGAGAAGAGGAAGAGAAGACAUUCCCACACCAACCUCUAAUCAUCUAACCUCCAAAAACACACACUCAUGUGGAUCCUAGCUGGGAGUCCCUGGAGCCUGGUGAUAAGGUCUCUCUGCUCCAGCUCCUGGAAUGAUCUGCACUUCAGGUCACCGCCAGCUGUCACCAUCACGUCUUUAGACUACACAGUGUGCAUGGACGACCGUAUGCAGGUCACUUGGGUCAUUCUCCCUGCUUGUUUGGUUGAUGUAAUUCCACAGGUUCACGUGGAGAACUGGACAAACACUGGUAUGAGAGCAGCCCCCGUUUAUUGGUGGAGGAGACAUUCCAAGAUGCUCACUGAAUGCUGGAAACCAUAUUCAACUGUGGAUAUGCUAUAUUCAUACCUGGGAUACUGUCUAAUUUAUAUAU
RNAcentral lists this long non-coding RNA (950 nucleotides) under Mus musculus (house mouse). RNAcentral describes it as "predicted gene, 48707". Lineage: Eukaryota; Metazoa; Chordata; Mammalia; Rodentia; Muridae. The record is from RNAcentral.